RNAcentral lists this ribosomal RNA (388 nucleotides) under uncultured bacterium. RNAcentral describes it as "bacterial SSU rRNA". It matches the Rfam family "Bacterial small subunit ribosomal RNA", at positions 28 to 416 of the family's 1533-position model. The record is from RNAcentral.
GACGAACGCUGGCGGCGUGCUUAACACAUGCAAGUCGAACGGAAAGGCCCUUUCGGGGGUACUCGAGUGGCGAACGGGUGAGUAACACGUGGGUGAUCUGCCCUGCACUUCGGGAUAAGCUUGGGAAACUGGGUCUAAUACCGGAUAGGACUACGGACUGCAUGGUCUGUGGUGGAAAGCUUUUGCGGUGUGGGAUGGGCCCGCGGCCUAUCAGCUUGUUGGUGGGGUGAUGGCCUACCAAGGCGACGACGGGUAGCCGGCCUGAGAGGGUGUCCGGCCACACUGGGACUGAGAUACGGCCCAGACUCCUACGGGAGGCAGCAGUGGGGAAUAUUGCACAAUGGGCGCAAGCCUGAUGCAGCGACGCGCCCCGUGGGGAGUGACGGCC